This 433-nucleotide ribosomal RNA is filed under the name uncultured bacterium. RNAcentral's name for it is "partial 16S ribosomal RNA". It matches the Rfam family "Bacterial small subunit ribosomal RNA", at positions 29 to 507 of the family's 1533-position model. The record is from RNAcentral.
AGCGAACGCUGGCGGCAGGCCUAACACAUGCAAGUCGAACGAACUCUUCGGAGUUAGUGGCGGACGGGUGCGUAACACGUGGGAACGUGCCUUUUGGUUCGGAAUAACUCAGGGAAACUUGUGCUAAUACCGAAUGUGCCCUUCGGGGGAAAGAUUUAUCGCCAUUAGAUCGGCCCGCGUCUGAUUAGCUAGUUGGUGAGGUAACGGCUCACCAAGGCGACGAUCAGUAGCUGGUCUGAGAGGAUGACCAGCCACACUGGGACUGAGACACGGCCCAGACUCCUACGGGAGGCAGCAGUGGGGAAUCUUGCGCAAUGGGCGAAAGCCUGACGCAGCCAUGCCGCGUGAAUGAUGAAGGUCUUAGGAUUGUAAAAUUCUUUCACCGGGGACGAUAAUGACAGUACCCGGAGAAGAAGCCCCGGCUAACUUCGUG